RNAcentral lists this ribosomal RNA (131 nucleotides) under uncultured bacterium. RNAcentral's name for it is "partial 16S ribosomal RNA". It matches the Rfam family "Bacterial small subunit ribosomal RNA", at positions 355 to 478 of the family's 1533-position model. The record is from RNAcentral.
UAGGGAAUCUUCCACAAUGGGCGCAAGCCUGAUGGAGCAACACCGCGUGAGUGAAGAAGGGUUUCGGCUCGUAAAGCUCUGUUGUUGGAGAAGAACGUGCGUGAGAGUAACUGUUCACGCAGUGACGGUAC